Manis javanica (Malayan pangolin) is the source of this 266-nucleotide long non-coding RNA. RefSeq lists it as uncharacterized. NCBI's taxonomy places the organism in Eukaryota, Metazoa, Chordata, Mammalia, Pholidota, Manidae. The record is from RefSeq and is a predicted model, not a curated record.
UGAGCGGCUGGCUCCUGGCUGAGCGGAAGCCACCAGGCGAACGGUGCCGAGGUGCAGGACAGUUGUAUCCACCGCGGAAGACACCUCCAGAUGAUGCCGGCUGGGAGGAAGCACCUGGAGAAAGCUGAGAAGGCCUCGAGGGAGGCUGAGGACAUGGCAGCCUGUGACCCUGGCAUGCAAGAGUGGAGAGAGCUCAUGAGGCUAGAGGAGGGCCCCGAAGGACUCCAAGCAGGCACUGUGUCUGCGCUCCGGUGCGGAUGGCUAGG